GACGAACGCUGGCGGCGUGCUUAACACAUGCAAGUCGAACGAAGUGGCGAACGGGUGAGUAACGCGUAAUCAACCUGCCCUUCAGAGGGGGACAACAGUUGGAAACGACUGCUAAUACCGCAUACUGAAGGAGGGGCUUGCGUCGGAUUAGCUAGUUGGCGGGGUAACGGCCCACCAAGGGGAUGAUCAGUAGCCGGUCUUGGAGGAUGAACGGCCAAAUGUGUAACGAGACACGGCCCAGGCUCCUAAGGGAGGCAGCAGGGGGGAAUCUUCCGAAAUGGACGGAAGUCUGACGGAGAAACGCCGCGGUAGUGAUGACGGCCCUCGGGUUGUAAAGCUAUGUUAAUCGGGACGCGGUACCGGAAUAGAAAGCAACGGCUAACUACGUGCCAGCCGCCGCGGUAAUUC
This 408-nucleotide ribosomal RNA is filed under the name uncultured bacterium. RNAcentral describes it as "partial 16S ribosomal RNA". It matches the Rfam family "Bacterial small subunit ribosomal RNA", at positions 28 to 526 of the family's 1533-position model. The record is from RNAcentral.